This 301-nucleotide ribosomal RNA is filed under the name uncultured bacterium. RNAcentral describes it as "partial 16S ribosomal RNA". It matches the Rfam family "Bacterial small subunit ribosomal RNA", at positions 509 to 807 of the family's 1533-position model. The record is from RNAcentral.
CAGUAGCCGCGGUAAUACGAAGGGGGCUAGCGUUGUUCGGAUUUACUGGGCGUAAAGCGCACGUAGGCGGACUUUUAAGUCAGGGGUGAAAUCCCGGGGCUCAACCCCGGAACUGCCUUUGAUACUGGAAGUCUUGAGUAUGGUAGGGGUGAGUGGAAUUCCGAGUGUAGAGGUGAAAUUCGUAGAUAUUCGGAGGAACACCAAUGGCGAAGGCGGCUCACUGGACCAUUACUGACGCUGAGGUGCGAAAGCGUGGGGAGCAAACAGGAUUAGAUACCCCCGUAGUCCCUGUCUCUUAUAC